GCGCCGGUAGCUCAACUGGAUAGAGCACUUGACUACGGAUCAAGAGGUUACGAGUUCAAAUCUUGUUCGGCGCGCCA
RNAcentral lists this transfer RNA (77 nucleotides) under Synergistaceae bacterium. RNAcentral's name for it is "tRNA-Arg". It matches the Rfam family "tRNA". Rfam says of the family: Transfer RNA (tRNA) molecules are approximately 80 nucleotides in length. Their secondary structure includes four short double-helical elements and three loops (D, anti-codon, and T loops). Lineage: Bacteria; Thermotogati; Synergistota; Synergistia; Synergistales; Synergistaceae. The record is from RNAcentral.